GGUUGACCUCGGAUCAGGUAGGGUUACCCGCUGAACUUAAGCAUAUCAAUAAS
Molecule: ribosomal RNA, 53 nt
Filed under: Talaromyces palmae
Lineage: Eukaryota; Fungi; Ascomycota; Eurotiomycetes; Eurotiales; Trichocomaceae
Description: partial 28S ribosomal RNA
Source: RNAcentral